GGUGGGGACUCGUAAGAGACUGCCGGGGUCAACUCGGAGGAAGGUGGGGACGACGUCAAGUCAUCAUGCCCCUUAUGUCCAGGGCUUCACACAUGCUACAAUGGCCGGUACAGAGGGCUGCGAUACCGUGAGGUGGAGCGAAUCCCUUAAAGCCGGUCUCAGUUCGGAUCGGGGUCUGCAACUCGACCCCGUGAAGUCGGAGUCGCUAGUAAUCGCAGAUCAGC
Molecule: ribosomal RNA, 224 nt
Filed under: bacterium FV-10
Lineage: Bacteria
Description: partial 16S ribosomal RNA
Rfam family: Bacterial small subunit ribosomal RNA
Source: RNAcentral